AAGUUUAGAUUAACNAAAUCAUGAGCCUUCAAAGCACAAGACAGGACAUAGGCCCUAACUUCUG
This 64-nucleotide transfer RNA is filed under the name Lygodactylus keniensis (Parker's dwarf gecko). RNAcentral describes it as "tRNA-Trp". Lineage: Eukaryota; Metazoa; Chordata; Lepidosauria; Squamata; Gekkonidae. The record is from RNAcentral.